This is a long non-coding RNA of Grammomys surdaster, 3852 nucleotides long. RefSeq lists it as uncharacterized. The transcript is spliced from 5 exons. Lineage: Eukaryota; Metazoa; Chordata; Mammalia; Rodentia; Muridae. The record is from RefSeq and is a predicted model, not a curated record.
UCCACUUAAUUAAAGCACUGGAAGGCAGUGGGUGAGCAACUCUCUGGGAGGAAGGCUGGGGUUCUUAUCUCACCAGGGCUUUAGUCAAGAGAAACAGCAGCAGGCAAACAGCUCUGGCCUCUUGGGAGCAUGGGUGUCUCAGUCAAGUUUGGUGGACGAGAAAAAAGAGAAAGACGAUCCUCCUUCGAGUCUCAAGUUUGUUGACUCCUGGAUGCAAAGAGGCUGUUGCGGGUCCAGGCACCAUGCAUUUACGCAAAAUAAGAAAGAGUAUAACCGGUGGCUUCACUCCUGUUUCAUCUCACCAGGAAAGCAAAAAUUUCCCUUGAAGUCCAAGAAAACUCUUUAUUUCCUUGGCCAAAAUUGUCCUGCAGUUACCCAGGAAGUACAAAGAGACUGGGAAUGUAAGGGUUGGGAAACAUUGCUAAUCUAAUUCAAAUUGGAGUCCAUAAGAGAGACAGAGGCGAUGGCUACCAGGUAAGCAGAGGAUAGAGCAUCCUGGGGGUGUUUUCAACUACAGACUGCUACAGCCAUCUAGUAAAGAAAACUAAAGCUACUUCAGGCAAACUAAACAGAAGAAAUUUGAUGCAGCAAUUUGUUAUCAGGCUGGGAAGUAUCAGGGUCGCUGUUUUCCUGCUCAGUUGGUAUAUGUGCUGCCACCAAGAUUCAAGAAGCCAGAAGCCUGUGAUAUCACCGCCCCUGUAUGAGCCAUCUUCCAGACAGCACAGUGGGUCAGAAUGGUGUGGAAGUGUGAAGGUCAACCUCGUGAAGGAAGGUGUGGGAUGGAGAGCGAAGUGCCACAGACUCUCGUGACUUGUGGAAGAGUCCUGACACCAAACUAGAUCUAAGAUGGUUUCUGGAGCACAGGCACGCCACUCUCUGUCAGAGACCUGAUUGCAGCUCAUUAAAGCAGUGAGGAAGGGGACUGCCAUUAGAACCAGGAGGCAGGACUUUGUUCAGCUUGUCUCUUGACUUGGAGCCCACAGCUACCUAAGACUCAUAGUAUGAAGCCCGUGAGUGGCCUGGAGGUGAGUGGGAGAGGGGGCCUUUUGUCUGUCUGUCUGUCUGUCUGUCUGUUUCUCUGCCCUCACUCAGCACUUUCUGCCUCACCACUCCCUUUCCUCUCCUCCUCCCCCAACUCCAACAUCAAGAUCUGAUUAUAUAAGGUAGGGUCAGAGAGACAUGGCCUCUGAUUUCUUCAUAAGUAUAGACAAGGUUUAUGAAGAGGGAUUGGCUUAUGCAGCCAUGGACGUUUGCAAGCCCAGAGAUCUGCAGGGUGAGUCAGCACACUGGAGACCCAGGACAGCUGUCAUUCUAGCCUACAAUAGGAUGGCAGGAAAAUUCCCCCCAAACUCACAAGAGGGUCAGCUCUUUGUUUUCUUCAGAUCCUCCUCCCUUAGCUUGUAUAGGUCCACGACACACUGGGGAGCAAUCGGCCUCAUACUGAAACAUCUACAGAGACAUCCACACCCCCCCAAAAAAAUAUAUGACCAAGCACCAGAGAAGCUAUAGGCUAGUCAUUACUUACAAUCAAUUGUCACAACAGACAUUGGGCACUGCCAGGGGUGGCCAUGGGCUGUAGAAAUGUUAUCAUGAACACAGCGAGAUACCUGUGUCCCUGAGCUGGCUGCUAAGACAUGAAAUCUGAGGCAUGGACAGGCCUUCCAAUCGCCUGUCAACCUCCCAUUGCCUUUUCUGUAUUUUCCUCUCCAGCUUGUAUCUAAACACAUCUCCCAACCCUUCUCCAUCACCCCUUGUCUGCUGUGAACUGCUGAUUUUGUCCUAGGAUUUCAUAGCUCAGGACAUUUGUAUGUGCUGUUUUCUCUGCCUUGGACGACCUUACCUCCAUUCUGUGUCUGGAAAUGUCUAUUUGCCUUUUCAAGCCUCAACUGAAAUGUUAUUAUGGAAGUUAAUAAUUCGGAAACAAGGAGGACUGUGAGAUUGUGAAUGGCGCUUAAACUGUCUGACUGUUUGAUAUAACCAGUGGUAGCAUUCGUAUUUGUAUCAACUCAUUUCUUUGGCCAGCAAAUGAACACUUUUAAAGACACCAAGCAUAUGUCAGGCUCUGGAGUAAGUGCUGAGAUACAGGAAACCAAACAAGGUCUGUGGAGUAUGUAUUUCAAGAGGAGACACACAGAGAUCCAAAUCAGAUAAAUACACAUACACACACACACACACACAGAGAGAGAGAGAGAGAGAGAGAGAGAGAGAGAGAGAGAGAGAGGAUAAAACUGACAGCCUUUUAAAAGGAGCAUUUAUACAUUUAGCUGAGGCGGGACUGAUGACAAGAAAGACCCAUGUCCAUAGAAAUUAGGGGGAGGUCAUUCAGGGAGAGCAAAUGGCAGAGCAGAGACUGUGAGUCUAUGAAGAGCUCGGGGAAUCUGAGGGACAGUGGGAAGGCACAGGGGCUGGAGAGAGUUGGGAGAACAAUGGAACAAAGCAAGGGCCAGCCAGGGAGGAGACCCUGGCUUGGAGCUGUUGCCCCUGCCAUCCUGGGUACACAUAAUUCUUGUCCUCUUGUGUAUAGUCUAGCUUUAUAGCUGUCUGAGGCUUCCUGAGGAAGGCUGGACUGUCUACUUCAGAAGCAGAGUAGGCUUGUUCCUGGAUGGCAGUCUGGAAAGUUUGCUGAAAAGCUUAUCACAACCCUGUACCUCAUGAGACCUAUGGGCCCCUUGAGGAUGGGAAUCCCAUCCAUUUCUUCAUCCUUGCAUCGCCAACUCCCAUCCCAGACAGAGGCAUAGUGGGCACUCCUUACCAUGAGUAAAUCUUGCUCCUUCAUGGGUUUAGGUUAAGCUUUACCUCUUGAGGUGCACAUGGGAGAGGGGACAGGCACGAAGGCUGAGGGCACAGAAAACUGUGAAGUUCCCAAUAGUUAUAACAAGUUAUGUACUAUACUGUUCCCUGACUGCAGAGGCUGUCUGUGUGUCUGCUUUGGGGGCUCGUCUGUCCUGCUGUUCCAAGAUUAACCCUUUCCCCAAUAUGGUCUGCUUAGCUAUAACCUGUUUUAUUUAUGUGUGCGUGUGACUGGUCUCAUUUGAAGGGAACCUAGCCUUAGGUUCCUUCAGUACAUUUCUUUUCAAAUGAUUCACUUAUAUGAGACAUUGUCUUUGCUUCCGCCUUAACCUACUCUUCUAAACUGUUUCUGGAAAACACAGCCACAACUUUGGUUUGUUUCACAGAUCAUUUAAACAACAACAACAGCAACAGGGGGAAAUUUAGUCUCCUUUUAGCCUGACCGUCCAGCAAAUUACAGAAGAGUGGUUUGCUGUGGUUUGGCGUUUGUUCUUUAGGUCCCUGGUGGAGGCACAGAUGUUGGAAAAAAUGGUAGGGAGUGGGGAGGUCCCCCAGUAAGUGGGGAGGGAAGAGGGUUCUGACUGAGAGGAGACAGGUGGCUUAACAGGAAAGAGAGCAUCAAAGAGGAAGCAGCAAGGAGCAGGCAGGAGAAGCUUGCUGCUAUCAAGCCCUCAGGGCCGAAGAUCAGGGAAAACAUAAACAACAAACAAACAAAUGAUUACCCAUGGUUGCCAAGGCUGUAAAUGAGCUGUUAGGACCUUGGUGUUGUCUAGGGCUAUAUUUUAUUUAUCACCCCACGUUUUUUUCAAGGGAGGCUUCUGGGACCUCUUAUGGACGUCACCAGCUGCUAGAGAACUAAGGGGAUGGUUGAUCUCAUUGGAUGACCUGAUGCCACUGGUCAAGUGAGCACCCUGGACAUCUGGAAUGUUCCCAAGAUCCCCCAGGUGGUUCUGAAAUGCAGCCAACUUUCCAGGCCACUGAGUUUAACGAUGUAGAAAAAUAGAGCACAAAAAGGCGAAAUAGAAUUAGUAGUAAAUGAACGAGGACAGUAAGACAGUAAGA